RNAcentral lists this ribosomal RNA (253 nucleotides) under uncultured bacterium. RNAcentral describes it as "partial 16S ribosomal RNA". It matches the Rfam family "Bacterial small subunit ribosomal RNA", at positions 524 to 776 of the family's 1533-position model. The record is from RNAcentral.
UACGUAGGUGGCGAGCGUUGUCCGGAUUUACUGGGCGUAAAGAGCGCGCAGGCGGUCGUAUAAGUCGCGUGUGAAAGCCCCCGGCUCAACUGGGGAGGGUCACGCGAUACUGUUCGACUCGAAGGCAGGAGAGGGAAGUGGAAUUCCCGGUGUAGUGGUGAAAUGCGUAGAUAUCGGGAGGAACACCAGUGGCGAAGGCGACUUCCUGGCCUGUUCUUGACGCUGAGGCGCGAAAGCUAGGGGAGCAAACGGG